This is a non-coding RNA of Cinara cedri, 210 nucleotides long. Lineage: Eukaryota; Metazoa; Arthropoda; Insecta; Hemiptera; Aphididae. The record is from the annotation of a GenBank genome assembly.
AGUAAUUUAGAUUAUUUUAAAGUUCAUCAACACAGUUUCCGUGCGUAUAUAACUAUACUCGUAAAGAUUAUUUCGUUUAUUUGCUACAAAUUCAUAUUUUAAUUUUAUUAUUAUUAUUAUUAUUAUUAUAAUUAUUUUUAUUUUAGUAUCGUGAAAGCAAUGGGAUUAUUUCCAUCGUCAGUUGCCGUGGCUUAUAAUGUAACCUUUUUU